GCUGUGUCAUGGGUGUGCGUCCUCAACCUUGGCAAAAUAAACUUUCCAAAUUAACUGAGACCUAUCUCAGAUUUUCGGGGUUCAUAAGGCUAAGGAAGUAUUGUCUCAGGGAUUUUUAUUUUUUACUGUUUUGCUCGGAAGGAAGCAGGAAGUAGUUCCCCUAAACACUUCCCCAGCUUGGCAUUCUCAAGGUGGCUCUCAGCUCCCUGGCCUCCAGAGGUGUCUCCUUUUUCUCUUUUCCUCAUUGUCUGGCACAUAGAGGGGAGAGAAACCAUUUUUUAUUUUACGUUAUUUUUUAUUUUUUAAUUUUAAUUUUAAUUUGAGACGGAGUUUCACUCUCAUUGCCCAAGCUGGAGUGCAAUGGCGUGAUCUCAGCUCACUGCAGCCUCCUGUCAGAGAUGAUAAAUUCCUCUUCAAAAAGGUUUAGUUCUCUGUUCUUUGUUUCUUAAGACCAACUUCCUUGUACAUCCUUGUCUCCUAGCUACCUGUUCUGUAAACAGCCUUCCUGCCUUCGCCAGGCCCAGACAAGUCCAGAUAUGCCUUCCCACCUAGUAACGGAUAGUUCCUCUUCCUUCCCACCUAAUAGACCCUAUUCAAUUUUAAAUCUUAGCCAAUCGAAUUAGCUUAGAUUGUGAAGUCCAACCCCAGCCAAUGCGGAAAGGACACAGAAGUGCUAGGAACUGCAUUAGGGAUUAAAAACCCCUGCCCUACCCUGCUUGGUGUGCUCUUGCGAUUGUGACUAGCACAAGCUGCACCCUUCUGCAGAAGUAAAUUUGCCUUGCUGAGGAAUUUUCUGCCUAUGUGCUGUUUUUCUUUGUGGCACCAGGCACUUGUUUCUAACAAACUUGGGGGUUCAUCUGGGAUUCCCAUUCUCCUCCGGGGAGGGUCUCAGAUCAUUUCUCGUGAGGAGACGCAGCCCGCUGCUUUGUUGCGGUGGCCUCAAGGGUAAGGGAUCGAGACCCACCUGGUGUGAUGAAUAAACCUGGACUCUAGCAAUGAGGGAAGAAAAGGCAGACAGAUACUGUGGCGACCAGGUAACUCUGUGCAUAGACCAAGAGAAAAAGAAAAGUUAAAAGAAAUAGGAGCCAAAGAAAGUCACGAGGGAAGAUGGGUACAACCAGACAAGAAGGAAAUGCUGUCUAAGCCCUUCAUGCGAGAGGACUCAAGGCCUCCUAGCACAAACUCCACCCAUUGAAUUACCAGUUCAUCAACACCAGCCUGGAGAUCACAUCCUUAUCAGAAGUUGGAAAGAGGGAAAGCUCGAACCCACUUGGGAAGGACCAUACCUAGUGCUCCUCACAACUGAGACAGCAGUCCGGACCGUUGAGAGAGGAUGGACGCAUCAUACCCGGGUACCCCUCUCCAAAGUACCUACCCCCGAAAAUGUAACGUUAAAGAGAAAAGCGGCCGGCCCUAAACCCUCUUCUAACCAAACCUUUUCUCACUUCAUACCCAAUGAUAAAACUAAAGUUACCAUUAUAGAAGUUAAAGAUUUAAAGCAAACUCUAGCUAUUGAAACAGGAUAUCAAGAUCCAAAUGCCUGGUUGGAAGGGAUUAAAUAUUCCAUCCGCAAGCUAAAUAAAAGCGACUGUUAGGCUUGUGCGACAGGUAGGCCAGAAACCCAAAUUGUCCCCUUCCCACUUGGAUGGUCAUCUGACCAACGAGGCAUGAGCUGUGUGAUAGCUCUCUUCCAGAACCCCACAGCCUGGUGUAAUGAGUCAUGCAAGAUUCUUCCACUGCUGUUCCCUGAAGUCAAAAGCCCUGCGGGUCAGCCCUUGAGGGCCAUCCAGCCUGCAGCCCCUGAUGUUAACUUCACCUCUUGCCUUUCAUGGCAG
RNAcentral lists this long non-coding RNA (1835 nucleotides) under Homo sapiens (human). RNAcentral describes it as "HSALNT0051005". The record is from RNAcentral. Lineage: Eukaryota; Metazoa; Chordata; Mammalia; Primates; Hominidae.